Molecule: ribosomal RNA, 1373 nt
Filed under: Curtobacterium flaccumfaciens
Lineage: Bacteria; Bacillati; Actinomycetota; Actinomycetes; Micrococcales; Microbacteriaceae
Description: bacterial SSU rRNA
Rfam family: Bacterial small subunit ribosomal RNA
Source: RNAcentral
GCAGUCGAACGAUGAUGCCCAGCUUGCUGGGUGGAUUAGUGGCGAACGGGUGAGUAACACGUGAGUAACCUGCCCCUGACUCUGGGAUAAGCGUUGGAAACGACGUCUAAUACUGGAUAUGAUCACUGGCCGCAUGGUCUGGUGGUGGAAAGAUUUUUUGGUUGGGGAUGGACUCGCGGCCUAUCAGCUUGUUGGUGAGGUAAUGGCUCACCAAGGCGACGACGGGUAGCCGGCCUGAGAGGGUGACCGGCCACACUGGGACUGAGACACGGCCCAGACUCCUACGGGAGGCAGCAGUGGGGAAUAUUGCACAAUGGGCGAAAGCCUGAUGCAGCAACGCCGCGUGAGGGAUGACGGCCUUCGGGUUGUAAACCUCUUUUAGUAGGGAAGAAGCGAAAGUGACGGUACCUGCAGAAAAAGCACCGGCUAACUACGUGCCAGCAGCCGCGGUAAUACGUAGGGUGCAAGCGUUGUCCGGAAUUAUUGGGCGUAAAGAGCUCGUAGGCGGUUUGUCGCGUCUGCUGUGAAAUCCCGAGGCUCAACCUCGGGCUUGCAGUGGGUACGGGCAGACUAGAGUGCGGUAGGGGAGAUUGGAAUUCCUGGUGUAGCGGUGGAAUGCGCAGAUAUCAGGAGGAACACCGAUGGCGAAGGCAGAUCUCUGGGCCGUAACUGACGCUGAGGAGCGAAAGCAUGGGGAGCGAACAGGAUUAGAUACCCUGGUAGUCCAUGCCGUAAACGUUGGGCGCUAGAUGUAGGGACCUUUCCACGGUUUCUGUGUCGUAGCUAACGCAUUAAGCGCCCCGCCUGGGGAGUACGGCCGCAAGGCUAAAACUCAAAGGAAUUGACGGGGGCCCGCACAAGCGGCGGAGCAUGCGGAUUAAUUCGAUGCAACGCGAAGAACCUUACCAAGGCUUGACAUACACCGGAAACGGCCAGAGAUGGUCGCCCCCUUGUGGUCGGUGUACAGGUGGUGCAUGGUUGUCGUCAGCUCGUGUCGUGAGAUGUUGGGUUAAGUCCCGCAACGAGCGCAACCCUCGUUCUAUGUUGCCAGCGGGUUAUGCCGGGGACUCAUAGGAGACUGCCGGGGUCAACUCGGAGGAAGGUGGGGAUGACGUCAAAUCAUCAUGCCCCUUAUGUCUUGGGCUUCACGCAUGCUACAAUGGCCGGUACAAAGGGCUGCGAUACCGUAAGGUGGAGCGAAUCCCAAAAAGCCGGUCUCAGUUCGGAUUGAGGUCUGCAACUCGACCUCAUGAAGUCGGAGUCGCUAGUAAUCGCAGAUCAGCAACGCUGCGGUGAAUACGUUCCCGGGCCUUGUACACACCGCCCGUCAAGUCAUGAAAGUCGGUAACACCCGAAGCCGGUGGCCUAACCCU